AUGCUGAAGCAUGCCUUUGGAUCCGCAACCGAGGGCGUCUAUCUCCGGACUAGAUCAGACGGAAAGCUCUUUAAUCUCUCUAGAUUGAGAGCGAAGACCAAAGUCCAACUGAAAUGCAUGCGGGACUUCCUCUUCGCAGAUGAUGCAGCCAUUGUUGCCCACUCUGCUGAAGACCUCCAACAACUCAUGAAUCGUUUCAGCAAGGCCUGCCAAGACUUUGGACUAACAAUCAGCCUGAAGAAAACACAAGUCAUGGGCCAGGGCGUGGACUCACCUCCCUCUAUUACCAUCUCCACACAAGAAUUGGAGGUUGUUCAUGACUUUGUGUACCUCGGCUCAACCAUCUCUGACACCCUCUCUCUAGAUGUCGAGCUGGAUAAACGCAUUGGCAAAGCAGCCACCAUGUUCUCUAGACUCACAAAGAGAGUAUGGCUCAAUAAGAAGCUGACGACACAUACGAAGAUCCAGGUUUAUAGAGCCUGUGUUCUAAGCACACUCCUGUACUGCAGUGAGUCAUGGACUCUUUGUGCAUGGCAGGAGAGGAAGCUGAACACCUUCCAUAUGCGUUGCCUCCGACGGAUUUUUGGCAUCACCUGGCAGGACAAAGUUCCAAACAGAGCAGUCCUAGAACGAGCUGGAAUUUUCAGCAUGAACACAUUACUGAAACAGCGACGUCUACGUUGGCUCGGGCACGUCGUGAGAAUGGCUGAUGGUCGGAUUCCAAAGGAUCUCCUCUAUGGAGAAUUAGUGCAGGGAAAGCGCCCCAGAGGGAGACCACAACUGCGAUACAAGGACAUCUGCAAGCGAGAUCUGAAGGCCUUAGGAAUAGACCUCAACAGAUGGGAAAACCUGACAUCUGAGCGUUCAGCCUGGAGGCAGGCGGUGCAUCACGGCCUCUCCCAAUUUGAAGAGACCCUUGCCCAGCAGGCCGAGGCAAAGAGGAAGUCACAAAAGCAGCAAAACCAGGGAGCCGGACAGGGGACAGACUGGAUUUGUCUUCAGUGUGGAAGGGACUGUCACUCUCGAAUUGGCCUUCUCAGCCACACUAGGCGCUGUUCCAAGCCCUCCAUACAGAGCACGCUACCAUAG
Pogona vitticeps (central bearded dragon) is the source of this 1089-nucleotide long non-coding RNA. NCBI's taxonomy places the organism in Eukaryota, Metazoa, Chordata, Lepidosauria, Squamata, Agamidae. The record is from Ensembl.